GUGACGUUGGCUGAAGUGGGAAUGGCUCUGGGUUGUGAUUCCAGAAUAUGCGGGUUCGAUCCCCGUACGUCACCCCA
RNAcentral lists this transfer RNA (77 nucleotides) under Vibrio phage Thalassa. RNAcentral describes it as "tRNA-His". It matches the Rfam family "tRNA". From Rfam's summary of the family: Transfer RNA (tRNA) molecules are approximately 80 nucleotides in length. Their secondary structure includes four short double-helical elements and three loops (D, anti-codon, and T loops). The record is from RNAcentral. RNAcentral also lists the same sequence under 18 other names. Lineage: Duplodnaviria; Heunggongvirae; Uroviricota; Caudoviricetes; Demerecviridae.